UUUCCGUAGGUGAACCUGCGGAAGGAUCAUUCAUAAUAAAGUGUUUUAUGGCACUUUUUAAAAAUCCAUAUCCACCUUGUGUGCAAUGUUAGAUCUCGUCAAUCUUGGCGAGAUUUUUAUACAUCAACUCAUUCUUUAACUAAUUUGUCUGAAAAAUAUUAUGAAUACUUAAUUCAAAAUACAACUUUCAACAACGGAUCUCUUGGCUCUCGCAUCGAUGAAGAACACAGC
RNAcentral lists this unclassified non-coding RNA (231 nucleotides) under plant metagenome. RNAcentral's name for it is "partial contains small subunit ribosomal RNA, internal transcribed spacer 1, and 5.8S ribosomal RNA". The stretch from base 183 to 231 matches the Rfam family "5.8S ribosomal RNA", at positions 1 to 49 of the family's 154-position model. The record is from RNAcentral.